Myotis myotis is the source of this 2476-nucleotide long non-coding RNA. RefSeq lists it as uncharacterized. The record is from RefSeq and is a predicted model, not a curated record. The transcript is spliced from 3 exons. Lineage: Eukaryota; Metazoa; Chordata; Mammalia; Chiroptera; Vespertilionidae.
CUCAUCAGCUGGGGGAGAAAUGGUGUGUUCGUUUCAGUUGCAUUCCUGUUGUUGGGAACGACGAAGAGCCACUGGACUGUGUGUUCCUGGAAGAAUGAUCCGGACCUCUAGGACCUCUCGUCCAACAUCCAGCCGAACACCCAGCACCGGCGUUGGGAGGCGCCUGGUGAGACCGCACCGCGCACCGCCUCCCCUCCCCUCCCCGUCGCCUCGGCGGCUCCCUCUGGCUGAGGAGGAAGCGCACAGCCCGGGAGACCCACCGAGGCCGGCUUCCUGCUCCUGUUUGGUGUCUGGUGCGGUGGCCCCGGGGGCUUGGCCGACGCCAGCGAGAGCGAGUCAGGCCUAGCCAGGGCGCUCCUAGGGCGCCAUCUCCGCACCCGGGCCCCUCCCCGCCUGGCCGGCGUCCCUCUCCUCUGAGCGGGUCCCGUGGGCGGCCUGCCAGGCCGUGAAGACCCCGGAGCCUUCGUGUGGCCCCAACCUCAGCCCCUGUGCGCACAACCACCUUUGUCGCAGCCACAGGCCCCUGGUCUCCUGGGGUGACCUCGCCCAGGGCGCAGGCUGCCUCCGCUGGCGGAAGCCGGUUGCUGAGGGUUGGAAUUGCACAGACUAAUCACACCCCGCCGGGGAGCCUUUGCGGGCCGGUGACUGGGAUGAGAUGAGGGUCCCUCAUGACCAGUGCACAGAGCAGGACGAAGCCUCCGCUUGGUAAAUGGAUGUGUUGCCGAUUUGAUGUAUGAGAUCACCACCAGCCUUCCCACCCCCAGAUCCAUGACAUGGACUGCUUUGUGACUUAGCAGAGACACGAAUUUGAACUACAAGUUCCUCGGCUGACCCUACUCAACACAUCCCCUUAAAGGAGUAGACCAUCCCCCAGGACAAGAAGAGACUGUCCACCUGAAUGCAGGCAUAAAACCUCCAAAGGAGAAGGUGUCCUUCAAAAGGGGUUAGUGGGCCAUUGAAGCCUAGAUCCAUGAGAGUCAGCAGCACAAACCCAGCAGGACAUCCUCAGCAGUGACAGAGGGCAAACACCAUCAUCUCUAGCCCUGAUCACAGCCACCAAGAGAGAUUUUUUUUUCAGAAUUUAAAUCAAAUCGUGUUAUUGCCCUGCUUACAACUCUAUUGGAUUCCCAGUGCACAGAGAACAAAAGUGAAACUCUUCACAGCAGAGCUGACAAGAGGCCUUGCAUUAGCUGGCUUCUUCCUCACUUCCUCUUCCCUUCGCUUUUAUGACCCAACCACCCCGUUCAAGCCAGGAUCUCUCUUACCUCCAGAUCUCCCCACAUUGUUGGAACACCCUACCCUUCAUCUGCAAAACUCCUAUUCAUCUGUCAAGUCUCCACAUCAUCAUCACCUCCUCAGAGAGGACCUCCAUGAUCAUGCAAUCCUUCUGCUUUAGCUGCCAGAAUGUAGAGAAGCGAACCUAGUCAUUUUCCCAUAUCACAGUGUGUAAUGACAUAUCUGAUUUGUUUGGUUUUUGUUUGCUGUCUCUCUCCCCUGUGGGGCUGUGAAUGCUCUGAGGACAGGAACUACAUUUGUAUUGCUCACCACUGUAUAACCAGUGGCUGGCUUACACUGAGCACUCAGCAAAUGUUUAUGAAAAGAACAGAUAAACUUUUGGGGGUCAGGCGGUCUUCUACAAUAAACAGGAGCUUCUCCAGAUGGUCUCCUCCCCCAGCCAGACCUCCAAGCCUUCUGGCAAGAGUGGGCCUUCACUUCUUCCAUGAUGGCUGCCUCAGCUUCUCAACAGAUAGGCAGGUGCUCUGGCCAAACCAGUUCAAUAAAACUCAUGUAGGUGCCUAUAGGAGCAAAGAAACCCCCAGCUGCCACCCAGGCUCUGAUCUCUUGGGCCAGGCUUACAGUGAGAGGGAUGUAGGCAAGGGAUGGUGAGACAGAGGGGCCCUGCGUUAGCAAGGUUCCCUCCUCCUGCUCCCUCCCCUCUCCCCCUCUGGCCCCCAGACACAUAAGCACACGAACACUCAGAGGCUCAAGUAACCCCUGCUGGGUCUGAUAGCUGACUGCUCACCAUGGUCUCCAGUCCCUGCCCCCUACUUCCAUCUCUCUCCAGGCCUCUACUCGCACAAACAUAUGAUAAGCCCCAGUUCCUGGAAGAACGAUCUUCGUAAAUUAAGUUAUCAUGAGUUAUGUGAACCCCCCAACCUGCAAGAGCCCAUGCUAGACUGGCUGUCUGCCUCCUGCCCUUUGCUUCUCACUUAAAGAGCCAAGUCACCAUGAAUUUUCUUAAUGAUACUUUAUGCGCCUGUGUUAGUCAUUUUUCUUCUCUUUCUAGCAGAGGCAGGGAGUUGUCUUAAGGGAAACAGCACAAUGUUACAGAAAAGACCCAGGCCUUGAAAUUAGACAGAACUGGAUUUGAAUAUUGGCUUUGCCACCCCACCAAAUAGACCUGGGGAAGUGUCUCAACCUUUCUGUGCCUGUUUCCUCAUCCUAUAUAAUAAAAGCCUAAGAUGCAAAUUGACCA